RNAcentral lists this transfer RNA (106 nucleotides) under Candidatus Geothermarchaeota archaeon. RNAcentral's name for it is "tRNA-OTHER". The record is from RNAcentral. Lineage: Archaea; Thermoproteati; Candidatus Geothermarchaeota.
AAGCCCGUAGCCUAACCUGGAUAGGGCGCCGAGCAAAAUCGCGCGUAAGCCUUCGGAGCCGGAGAUCACCCGGAAACUGCGGGUUCAAAUCCCGUCGGGCCCACCA